RNAcentral lists this long non-coding RNA (2900 nucleotides) under Musa acuminata (dwarf banana). RNAcentral describes it as "long non-coding RNA (MACU_LNC006215)". The record is from RNAcentral. Lineage: Eukaryota; Viridiplantae; Streptophyta; Magnoliopsida; Zingiberales; Musaceae.
GAUUCCUUCAUGAGAUAAGGAUGAACAUCAGGUUGGGUGGAGCUCUAUAUAUAUAUACGUUGCAUUCCUGCCGAGCUGAUCACAGCACACCAUUUAGCCCAUUGCACACCAUAUAGUUAGCUCCAAUCUCGCAGCUUCACAACAUGUAUUUUAUGCCUGUGAUCAUGGGGCGAGACAGGUUCCUGGAUUUCCUGGAAAGAGCUGACGAGAACAAGGAUGGACGCAUAAGCAGGGAUGAGCUCCGCAACGCUCUCAAGGCCGCAGGUCUCCGGUUCACAACAGUCAAGGCAUGGUUGGCGAUGAGGAAAUGUGACCACAACCGGAAUGGUGUCAUCGAGGGCGACAAGGAAAUGGCGUCGCUUUUGAGUUAUGCGAAUCAGAAAUGGAACGUCCUCGUUAUGUAGACAGGAGAAGGGUCUCUCGGUUUGGAGUUCUCUCUUCUGGUCGUCUAAAGCUUUGGAUGUAACUCUUGCUGAUAGCAGAAUGUGAAUGAAGUGAUAGUUGUCAAGGAAAUGAUGCGUGCAUGUGUCUCCACUGGAUGAAGACCUCUCGCUUCUCUUUGCAAAGAAACUUGAACCUGCAUUUCCUUGUCAUGAGUGAACAUUAUCGCAUAGUACUCUAUUAGGAUAAGAGUAUUAAUUUUUUAUUUAUAAUUUUUAAUAAAACCUUCUUAAAUCUCCCUCGACGUCUUCUCGUAAUAUUAAUAAUUUCAUUACUCAUAGGCAGUAAUUUAACACAACCAUUUACCUUUUUUAUUGAGGGUUUCAGACAUUUGAUCAUAAAGCAAAUGAAUACACAACUUGUAAUUUAAUAUUAGUUGAUAUAUGUAUAUAUAUAAUUCAAAGAGUAGUAAUUAAAAAAAUAUUUCUUCCAGGAAGAAAUGUUAGGGUAGGCUUUAUCAACAAAAUGAGUGAUUGAUCAAAGUUGAUAUACAUUAGAUCAAAUAUCAAUUCAAUCUAAAAAUUGAAGUUCAUUAAAGUGUGGGUCAAACCCGAUAUAUGUUAUCUAAUUCUUUCAAUCCUGAAUAGUAUGAGACUAUUUCUACAAUUUUCAACCUCCUUUCGUGAUUAUAGUCUUAAUAACAUAGUGCCAUAAAAGAUGUCUAUAUUUAAGUACAUGUAUAUUUUUAGGUGUAAAUAUUUUGGAUAAGCACAUAAUGUUAGUUUUAGGAGCUUUCUACUACUGCACACAACAAUAAAGAAAACAAAACAAAGUUGCAGGAAAGAUCUUUGCAAUAUGCUGAUUACAAACAACAGUAACGUAUGCUAUUUGGUGUGAUCGUUGUGGGACCUUAUGAGGUCCGCAGAUGGCAGUAUUCGGAUUUAUUGGGGUCCAUAUACUCCUUUCUCCUCCAUUUUGUAUGAUGCACAGUGCUGAUUCCUCCAGUCUACCUCCUACCUUUAUCCCAGCAUAUCUUAUUCUUGAUAUGGUGGUGGUCAAGCAUAUAAAUGCCAAUUAUUUGAUGUCACAGAUGGGCCAAGUAUUCUUGGCUUUGGAUAACGCCCAUUGUUGAUUCCUCCUGUCAGUUCUAAUGGCUUUAUGCUGCCACGCAUCAUGCAUUAUCUUCUUUGGAUAAUGGUCACUGAGCUAUUCAGUUAAUGUGAUGCCUUGGUGUACACUUGGAAGUGUAAUGGCCUCAAGGCAUCUCUUCUGCAAAUUGCUUUGAACUGCUGUAUUGCUAUGAGAAAUUUUUCGACAAGGAUCUUCCCUCUUUUGUUUGAAGCACAUUGCAUGCAACUUGUGCCACUGAACAUGUGGAGAAUAAGGAUGGUGGGUACGACAGAAAGAAUAAGAACAAGACUUCAUCGUUAAGCUUAGCUUUCGGUGAUUCCUUUCUGAGAGAUAAGGAUGCAACAUGAGGGUGGAGCUCUAUAAAUAGGUUCCAUGCAUGCCGAGCUGAUUACAGCACACCAUAUCUUUAGCUCUAAUCUUUCAGCUUCCAACAUGUAUAUUAUGCCAACGAUCAGCAUGGGGCAACGUGAGUUCUUGGAUCUCCUGGAAAGAGCUGACGAGAACAAGGACGGAUUCUUAAGCAAGGAUGAGCUCCGCAACGCUCUCAAGGCCUCAGGUCUACAUUUCACGAGAUUCAGGACAUGGUUUGCGAUGAGAAAAUGUGAUCUCAACAAGAAUGGCGUCAUCGACGGCGACAACGAAAUGGUGAAGCUGUUGAGUUAUGCGCAGAAGAACUGGAACAUCAGCGUUAAUUAGAGAGAAGGAAGUCUAUCAGUAAGUUUGGAGUGCUUUAUGUGGCUAUGCUAAGCUCUUAAGCUUUAAAUGUAACUCUUACUACAAGCAAAAUGGAUAUGACUAUGGUGCGUGUUCGUGUCUACUGUGGAUGAACUCCUCUUUCUUAGUUUUCCAAAGAAUAUUAUCAACCAUGAAAAAUUAUAUACUACUCAAUACAUUUUACCUCCAACUCUCCAAAUCUUCAUCACUCAUUCUACUCUUAUCAGCUCUCAUCUAUCCUUUGUGAUAGAGUGUUAUUCUAUCAAAUUUUUAUGGUAAAACCUACAGAAACAUUCAAGAGAGGAAAAAAGAUUUUGUGUGUGUGUGUAUAUAUAUAUAUAUAUAGGGGUAAAACUACAAAAGCAUGUAAGUUAUCCAUCAAGUCAGCUUCACAUGAAAAGGUGUUUAUGUUCAGUUCCUCUACCCAUAUAAAUAUUGUCGUAGAUGAUCUGUAAGCUACAUUUUGAGACGUUAGAUAGCUGCAUGUGUAAGAUACCUACGGGGCCAUCUCCAUGUUACGAUCAUCCUUGUCAUUAUACAUACAAAGGAAGACCGCACUUCCUCCCACAUGGCUUUGUUGGUCUCUGUGUUGCUUUGGUGUCCUCAACCUACUCCCAUACCACCUAAGACAGACUCGAAGACUAAUCUUGGAGCACGACGUCCAACCAUAGUGA